GUCCACGCCGUAAACGGUGGGUGCUAGUUGUGGGCCACAUUCCACGUGGUCUGUGACGAAGUUAACACAUUAAGCACCCCGCCUGGGGAGUACGGUCGCAAGACUAAAACUCAAAGGAAUUGACGGGGGCCCGCACAAGCGGCGGAGCAUGCGGAUUAAUUCGAUGCAACGCGAAGAACCUUACCAAGACUUGACAUAUAGAGGAAAAGCGUAGAAAUACGCUCCCCGCAAGGUCUCUAUACAGGUGGUGCAUGGUUGUCGU
This 262-nucleotide ribosomal RNA is filed under the name uncultured bacterium. RNAcentral describes it as "partial 16S ribosomal RNA". It matches the Rfam family "Bacterial small subunit ribosomal RNA", at positions 793 to 1055 of the family's 1533-position model. The record is from RNAcentral.